Molecule: long non-coding RNA, 2070 nt
Organism: Cyprinus carpio (common carp)
Lineage: Eukaryota; Metazoa; Chordata; Actinopteri; Cypriniformes; Cyprinidae
Exons: 3
Source: RefSeq, a predicted model, not a curated record
CCAAAUAGUGAAAUUGUUCACCAACUUAUCUCUGAUGUGGUAAAUGUUUUAAAUGCGUUAUACCCAGCUAUUGGCGUUCAAUACUGGCGAUCAUCUGAGGUGUAAAUGUAUCAGAAAGCUGCAAAUGUCACUGAUAAGUGGUCCAUCGACAGACAUAUGCGUCAAUUCUUAUCAGUGAUGCAAUUUAUUAUCAGUUAUGAAUCUUCUGGUAAUUGCUAACAACAGUUUCAAUUUUCAUUUAGGACUGUGGCUGCAUCACUGGCAUCUUGCACAAGAAAGGCACCCGAGUGUCAUGUUUUGAGUUUCCUGGAAAAUCAUACUGAGACUGCAAAUACACCACCCUCGCCUUUACCUGCAUCUCACACGGGAAAGGGACGCAGAUGUGACAAUAACAGUGGAAAAGAACCUGUGGCAAAGAGAGCUAAAGCAAAUAAGCAUCCCACUUGGUCAUGGAAAACAGAGGCUGAUGUUGACAUGUCUCCACAGGCUCUGAGAUUCCUGCCAACUCAGGAACCUGGACCACAGCUAAGACCAUGUGAUGCACACACUCCCAUGAGUCUAUUCAAAAAGUUUUUUUUCUGAAACUGCUGUGUCAACUCUGUGUCGAAACACCAAUGGUCAGGCUGCCAGGGCAUGUGCAAAGGGCUAUAAAUAUAAAUGGACAGACAUCAGCAUCAAUGAGCUGUACUGCUAAAUUGGGAUACUCUUCUACCUGGCCAUGGUGAAGUUGAGUUCCAUCAGAGACUACUGGUGGCAGGACAAUCUUUUCUCUUUUCCUUUCCUUUUCCUUUUCUCUGUUCCUGCCACAGUAAUGUCAAGGGACAGAAACUGCACCAUUUCAUGGAACAUGCACAUGAGUCACCCAGAUGCAGACCAGGACAAUGACAGAAAGAGAGGCACAGCUGAACACGACCGUCUUUUCAGGGUCAGACCCCUCAUGGACACUAUCCGGCAUGCAUGUAAGGCCAUCUAUCAUCCAAGAAAAAAUUUGGCAGUGGAUGAAAGAAUGGUGGCAUGCAACGCAAACAAAGGAAUGACUCAGUACAUGAAAGCCAAGCCAACCAGGUGGGGCUUCAAAUUGUUUGUUCUUGUGGACUCAUCAAAUGGAUAUACUGUAGAUUUUGCUGUUUACACAUGAAAGAACAACUUUCCCACAGCCCAUGGACUGUCAUAUGACGCUGUGACAUCUCUGUUAGACCGUACAGUUUUGGGCUCUGGGUACCAUGUAUACAUGGAUAAUUUUUACACUAGUCCCAAGCUCCUAACAGACUUGUUUGCUUUGAAGUUUUGUGCAUGUGGGACUUACAGAGACAACAGGAAAGACUGCCCUUGAAAUGCAGCUAACUCACUCACCAAAAAAUCUGAGAGGGGCUCCAUCAGGUGGAUUCGAGACAAACAUCUUGUGUUUGUGAAAUGGAUGGACACACGAGAGGUGUUCCACCAUCCAUGCUGCUUAUAAAGGAGACAAUGUGCAGAGGAGUGUGAAAACACAAAAUGGAUGGAGGACAAAGAGUUUUCCAUGUCCUGCACCUGUGACUGCCUACAACCAGCUGACCUGUCUGAUUAGCUGUUACAGUACAACAGUACACAGCACAAAACAGUGAAGUGGUACAGAAAGCUAUUUCUACACUUCUUGGAUAUUGCUGCCACCAAUGCUUUUAUUGUACACAAAGAGCUUAAUGGCACCAUGAGCCACAAGGAGUUUAUGGAAGAUCUAGUUGCAGAGCUCUGUGGUGUGUCACACCACAUACACCAAUACCACCAAAAUGGACCAAUGCUGACCAUGUGCCUUUUCCAGGAGUUGAGCAGGCCUCAGGUGCCACUACAUUUACAUUUACAUUUACAUUUAAUCAUUUAGCAGAUGCUUUUAUCCAAAGCGACUAGACAAGAAAAGAAAAGGUAAGUGCUUAGUAUUAGUUGGUUAAGUGCUGGCGGAAAAGAUGAGUAUUUAGAUCUUUUUUGAAAAUGAGUAAAGACUCAACUGUUCGAAUUGAGAUCGGGAGGUCAUUCCACCAGUUGGUCACAGUCCAGGAAAAGGUCUGUGAGAGUGAUUUUGAACCUCUUUGGGAU